This is an RNA transcript of Paramacrobiotus metropolitanus, 2071 nucleotides long. It is a transcript of the gene named raf homolog serine/threonine-protein kinase Raf-like, with no coding region annotated. The record is from RefSeq and is a predicted model, not a curated record. Lineage: Eukaryota; Metazoa; Tardigrada; Eutardigrada; Parachela; Macrobiotidae. The transcript has 3 exons.
UUUCGCUCGAUUCUUGCAAAGGGAAAGAUAAGACAUGGAUGUUUUUACUGGUCAACGAAGGCUUGGCCACAGGUGAAACGUUACAGGCAGUAAUAGAUUCCUUGAUAGCCAACAACCGGAAACUUCAUCUUGCUACUCUAUUGGAUUACUCUAAACAAUUGGCGAGCGGGCUCGGAUAUCUGCAUGAAAAAGGAAUUGUGCACGGCAGACUGAGCCCCGAUUUCGUGUACGUCGAGCGUCCGGUGGGUAAUCGAAAUGUCCUGCGAAUUGCCGGGUUGUUCUUUGAGCUAUUGUUGGAUGAAGAACUGGAAAGACAGCUUGUUUUCCCAUUAAUGCGUAACACAAUGUCGCCAGAAUACCUCUUAAAAUUUUCGGACAUACGACAUCUGUUGCCAAAGAAAUUUGGAGCGAAAACAGACAGUUGGGGAUUGGGCUGCGUAAUUUAUGAACUAGCUAAGUGCUAUUUUUCGGAAACCGAAUGGCCUCAGUUCCACAACCUGCGACAGUGGUUUUAAAAAUAAACUCUGUGAAUUUAUUGCCACUGCAAGAGACAGCACGCUUGAUCCGUUUCUCGAUUCUGUAUUGACACCCAGCGCCAAAGCCAACGUAUUUCGAAACCGGACGCAACCACAACACAUCCUAUCCAAGUUACUGUUAGUGGCACAUAUGCCGGUAUUAAUGUUUUUCCAUUCGCAAUUUUCCCAAAGAAUUGUGGACGGAUAUCCGCCGUACAUACCGGAAAUUAUUCCUAAAGAGUUUCUAAAAAUUAUCCAGAGAUGCGUACAAGUGGAUCUGGACAAGAGGAUUACGGCAAAAGAUGUUUACAAUAGUCUGGUAAAAGUGCAGGAUUAUAUUUAUGGAAGCACCUGGAAUCGCAGUAGGCUGAAUUCUGUUGCAAACUCUGAAGAAGCCUCCGGCAAUUCCCGUCCAUUAAUUGAAAUAUUUGGACCCCGCUGUGCGUAUGAUUACGAAUUUCCUGGCGACUUUAUUGGUCAAGGCACGUUUGGUACUGUGUACAAAGCAACACUAAGGGAUGACCAAAAUUAUGCAGGCAGUUGUACAGUUGCUGUUAAAGAGGUUUUAUUCAAAUCCGACCGAGAAAAUGCUGACACUCGAAAGAAUCCUUCGAAAAACGAUAUAGAGCUGUGGCAGUUGCUGAUAAGAUUGACGGACAGGCACCCUAAUGUGGUCACGUAUCAUCAUGUCGUCACGCGGAAAGUACUUCAAGGCGUUGAGGUUAUUUUUAUGAUGGACUGGUGUGAAGACCGUGAUUUGGAAUGGCACUUAGCUCAGUGCAGAUCAAAGAAACAGAGGUUUCGCGUCACUACCGCUUUAGAUCGCGCACUACAGGUGAGCAGCGGUCUGGCGUUUCUCCACCAGAAUAAGCUGAUUCACGGAGAUCUCAAACCUGGGAACAUUUUACACAAAAAUCCCCCAGUGGUCAUUACACUCUACUGAUCGGAGAUCUUGACGGAGCUGUCAGAUUUGAUGACCGCGAUACUGACUCAACUCAAUCCUUCGAGAUGGUGAACGGCACGAUAACUUAUAUGUCGCCGGAAAUGGCUAUGUUUAAAUGCCAAGAGGAUCACGCACCCCUCGGAUAUAGCAUCGAUAUUUGGAGCUUGGGAUGUGUCAUUUUGGAUCUACUGAACUGUGCCUUUCAGAAAGAAGAAGGGCGCUUCUGUAAGGUGAUCAAGAAAAAUGGCCUUUAUAGUUACGUGGAGGAAACAAUGAUCCGAGGGAGAAGUUGUUCAUCCGAUCAAUUAUUGUUCAAAUUGGCACAUGAUGGCUACACCCCUACAUUCCUGCCAAUAUUCCGAAAUUAUUCGCUAGUAGCGUCUACUGCUGUCUGGUUCCGGCUUUGGAUCGAAAAAUUACAGCCGCGCAGAUAGUAAAACACCUCCAAGUGUUACUCGCUCGCAUACAAAAUCAGGUACAAGUACAUCGACUGCAUAUUUUAACGAGCCAAGGCCACUUCGUGUGAAGACAAGAAGGCCACCAUGUAUCUUGCAAAAUGCCGGCGCUUGAAUGGUUACAUGGGAAGCAGCUUGCAACUUGCGCCCGCAUAUCU